RNAcentral lists this long non-coding RNA (945 nucleotides) under Brassica napus (rape). RNAcentral describes it as "long non-coding RNA (BNAP_LNC016841)". Lineage: Eukaryota; Viridiplantae; Streptophyta; Magnoliopsida; Brassicales; Brassicaceae. The record is from RNAcentral.
CGCUGAAUUAAUACUCGUUUAACUGAUUACAAUUUGGAUUUAAGUUUUAUGUUUUUAGCGGGCAAGACUAUUUCUUCUUCCCUCUUACCACAUUAUUAUCUUUCAGAGGGAAAGAAAUUGAUUAGAGGGAGAAAGAGUCUGUUUUUUUUGGUUUGUAUAAUACUUUCGAUCCAGAUCGAUCUUUCUUGGCUUGCCCGUGGGCCGUGGUAUCCUGACGUCCCUCCCGCUACGACUCGCUGUACCUUUCUUUCCUUAUAUCGGAUUUUCAAGUUCGCGUUGGCGAUUUGUGUUUUCGCUUAGGCGAUUUUUGUGGUGUUUUCAACUCAAAAUCAAAGAUUUUCUUCAUGGAUUUGUUAUGUUCUUUGAUUCUGGGUUGAGUUUUAAUAAUCUUUCGCAUGGUUAAUUUAUAUUCCGUUUGCUUGAGUCUGAAUCUCUAAUUCUUUGUUGGUUGGGCACAGAUCCCUUUUCUAUGAGGCUCUUUUAUCUCUUAUUGAUUAAGAGUUAAUAUGUCAACAUGAAAGUGGAGCAACUCAGAUGAAAAGGACGAUGGUGAUUUUAGAUAGAUUCAAUUGAUUUAAGGAGGAUUCAGUAGAAAUUGGCAUCUUUUAUAAAAAUGGACCAAUGAAGAGUCUCUUACUUGAAUCAAUUGGUGUUUCUCAGUUCUAAUUCACCGGCGGUUGUAAGAGAUUCAAGCCUUUAGCGGUGGUUGGUAGCGAAAGAUUGAAUAUGAAGAGUACAAGAUCAAGGCCAAAUAAAGUUUCAAGAUGAGGAGUAGAUUGAAGCCUCGUCGCUGGUAGUGGUAGGGAUUUCCACCGGCGGUGAAGCGAAGGGUCGAGAUAGCAUGUCCCAGUUACGCCAUGUAGGGAAGAUUAUUUCGCUAUGCUACACAUGUUUCAUUCUAUGUAAUGUUUAUAUUCUUUAUAUUUAAUAAAAUCAGAAGUUGAC